This 445-nucleotide ribosomal RNA is filed under the name uncultured bacterium. Its description in RNAcentral is "partial 16S ribosomal RNA". It matches the Rfam family "Bacterial small subunit ribosomal RNA", at positions 354 to 796 of the family's 1533-position model. The record is from RNAcentral.
GUGAGGAAUAUUGGACAAUGGGCGCAAGCCUGAUCCAGCCAUGCCGCGUGCAGGAAGACGCAUCUAUGGUGUGUAAACUGCUUUUGUACGGGAAGAAACACUCCCUCGUGAGGGAGCUUGACGGUACCGUAAGAAUAAGGAUCGGCUAACUCCGUGCCAGCAGCCGCGGUAAUACGGAGGAUCCAAGCGUUAUCCGGAAUCAUUGGGUUUAAAGGGUCCGUAGGCGGUUUGAUAAGUCAGUGGUGAAAGCCCAUCGCUCAACGAUGGAACGGCCAUUGAUACUGUUAGACUUGAAUUACAAGGAAGUAACUAGAAUAUGUAGUGUAGCGGUGAAAUGCUUUGAUAUUACAUGGAAUACCAAUUGCGAAGGCAGGUUACUACUUGUGGAUUGACGCUGAUGGACGAAAGCGUGGGGAGCGAACAGGAUUAGAUACCCUUGUAGUCC